This 518-nucleotide ribosomal RNA is filed under the name uncultured Lactobacillus sp. RNAcentral's name for it is "bacterial SSU rRNA". It matches the Rfam family "Bacterial small subunit ribosomal RNA", at positions 59 to 524 of the family's 1533-position model. Lineage: Bacteria; Bacillati; Bacillota; Bacilli; Lactobacillales; Lactobacillaceae. The record is from RNAcentral.
AAGUCGAGCGAGUCUGCCUUGAAGAUCGGAGUGCUUGCACUCUGUGAAACAAGAUACAGGCUAGCGGCGGACGGGUGAGUAACACGUGGGUAACCUGCCCAAGAGAUCGGGAUAACACCUGGAAACAGAUGCUAAUACCGGAUAAUAACAGAUGAUGCCUAUCAACUGUUUAAAAAGAUGGUUCUGCUAUCACUCUUGGAUGGACCUGCGGUGCAUUAGCUAGUUGGUAGGGGUAACGGGCCUACCAAGGCGAUGAUGCAUAGCCCGAGUUGAGAGACUGAUCGGGCCACAUUGGGGACUGAGACACGGGGCCCAAACUCCUACGGGGGGAGGGCAGCAGGUAGGGGGAAUCUUCCACAAUGGACGAAAGUCUGAUGGAGCAACGCCGCGUGAGUGAAGAAGGUUUUCGGAUCGUAAAGCUCUGUUGUUGGUGAAGAAGGAUAGAGGUAGUAACUGGCCUUUAUUUGACGGUAAUCAACCAGAAAGUCACGGCUAACUACGUGCCAGCAGCCGGUAAU